Molecule: ribosomal RNA, 253 nt
Filed under: uncultured bacterium
Lineage: Bacteria
Description: partial 16S ribosomal RNA
Rfam family: Bacterial small subunit ribosomal RNA
Source: RNAcentral
UACGUAGGUGGCAAGCGUUGUCCGGAUUUAUUGGGCGUAAAGCGCCCGCAGGCGGCUUGAUAAGUUUCAGGUGAAAUCUCCCGGCUCAACCGGGAGGGUGCCUGGAAAACUAUCAGGCUUGAGUCAUGGAGAGGGAUGUGGAAUUCCCGGUGUAGUGGUGAAAUGCGUAGAUAUCGGGAGGAACACCAGUGGCGAAGGCGGCAUCCUGGCCAUGUACUGACGCUCAGGGGCGAAGGCGUGGGGAGCAAACCGG